AGGACGAACGCUGGCGGCGUGCCUAAUACAUGCAAGUCGAGCGAACCGAUGAAGAGCUUGCUCUCAAAGGUGAGCGGCGGACGGGUGAGUAACACGUGGGCAACCUGCCUGCAAGAUCGGGAUAACUCCGGGAAACCGGGGCUAAUACCGGAUGAUGCAUUUCGCUGCAUGGCGGAAUGCUAAAAGGCGGCUUCGGCUGUCACUUGCAGAUGGGCCCGCGGCGCAUUAGCUAGUUGGGGAGGUAACGGCUCCCCAAGGCGACGAUGCGUAGCCGACCUGAGAGGGUGAUCGGCCACACUGGGACUGAGACACGGCCCAGACUCCUACGGGAGGCAGCAGUAGGGAAUUUUCCGCAAUGGGCGCAAGCCUGACGGAGCAACGCCCGCGUGAGUGAGGACGGCUUUCGGGUUGUAAAACUCUGUUCUUCGGGAAGAACGGUGGUCGGGUGAAUAGCCCGAUUGCGUGACGGUACCGAAGGAGAAAGCCCCGGCUAACUACGUGCCAGCAGCGGC
This 512-nucleotide ribosomal RNA is filed under the name uncultured bacterium. RNAcentral's name for it is "bacterial SSU rRNA". It matches the Rfam family "Bacterial small subunit ribosomal RNA", at positions 26 to 518 of the family's 1533-position model. The record is from RNAcentral.